CAAUACGACGGUGUCCACCUACCGCCCACCGCUCUCGUUCCAACCUAGUUGGACCACCCCGUAAAAAAUCUGAGGGGAGCCGGCCUCCACGAACUCCUCCGCUGCAACGACAUAAAAGAGCCGCGUCGUCCCUUCCCUCCCGGCUUCCUGGCCUGCACCUAGCAUCUCUCCGCUUCCUCCCCAUCCGCGCCGCCUCUGACGUUGACCUCGGCGGCCGCCACCGGCGAGGUCGCACCUCGCCGGUCACCACCACCCCCGCUGCUCGAUCUUAUAUCCCUACUCCGAGGAUCCCUGUAGCCUCCUCCGGCCGCGCACCCGCGGAACCCUAGAUCUCCGAUACCCCGCGCUCCUUCCCGCCGACGGCUACCCGAUCGGAAUGGGCCGCCAUCUUCAGUAAGGUCCAAGGACCCAGGGGUACCCCCCUCCGCCUUCGCGCGUGCGCGGAGCGCCGCCGCGAUGGCCAUCCGCAUCACCGUAUCCUAUUCGGGCUACCUGGCGCAGAACCUGGCCGCGUCCUUCGGCCUGCGCUGCACCGCCGCCGCGGCUGCGGGCGCUGGCGCCGCGCCCGGUCCAGGGUGCCGCUUCCUCCAGGACGCGCUAUCCCGCCCUUUCUGCCUCUUCGCCUCCUCCCGCCACGUCGACCCCCACCAUGACGCCGAGGAUCAGAACCACCCGAAGCCCGGGCCCAAGGCUCUGUCCCCUGCCGUUGCAGCAAGAGGAGAUGGCUACUCACUGUUGCUGCCGCGAUCGUGUUCCGCGAAGGCGCCGCCGCCGGUGGAUGACCCCCCAGCGUCGCUGGCCGUGGGGCUGCUGUCGGUGUUCGCGUCUGGGAUGGGAUCGACUGGCGGCAUUGCUGGUGCAUCCUCCCUUGUUGCGUCGCCGUCAAUAUCAACCGGGCUCAACCCUGCGUCGCUCCUCCCGUUCCUGCAGGCGAGCAAGUGGCUCCCCUGUAGCGACAUAGUCGCUGCUGCAACGACGUCGCGCAGCUCAGGACGCCCAGCAGGUGCAACGGCUGCACCUACACCGCGUACAGCUGCACCAUCGCCUCGUCCUGCACCACGCGCAGCCGCUCCAUCGCCCCGUCCUGCACCAUGCGCAGCCGUUCCAUCGCCCCGUCAUGUACCAGUGCCGUCACCUGCUGUUGCUGCUCCUUCCAAGGUCGGCAUACAAGCAUUGGUUGAUAGUGCUAGCAUCGCCUCAGGUUCAGCUGGGAUUGGAAGAGGGGUCAUUGCCUCUGGUGCAGCUGGAAUGGUGAAGAAGAGUGGUGCUAGUCUUCCUGUUGGUGCAGGGGUGGGAAGGAAGACCGGUUGGCUCUCAAGGUGGGUGAGCUCAUGCUCAGAUGAUGCGAAGACCGUCUUUGCCGCUGUGACCGUGCCACUGCUCUAUAAAUCAUCCCUAGCUGAGCCGAGGUCCAUCCCAUCCAGGUCAAUGUUCCCAACAUUUGAUGUUGGUGAUCGGAUCCUUGCUGAGAAGAUUUCGUACAUUUUCCGGGAACCGGAAAUUCUGGACAUUGUGAUCUUUCGGGCACCUCCAGUCCUUCAGGCAUUGGGCUACAGCGCAGGUGAUGUGUUUAUCAAGAGAGUUGUGGCUAAGGGUGGGGAUAUCGUUGAAGUAAGCUUUUAUCCCAAUGGUACGUGAUGGUAACUUGAUUGUUAAUGGAGUAGUUCAGGAGGAAGAAUUUGUGUUGGAACCAGCCGACUACGAAAUGGAUCCGCUGGUAUAAUAACUAAUCUUCUUACCACAUGCUACUAAAGAGCCACUAUUUUGUAGUCCUACUGUGCCUGAAGGCUAUGUCUUUGUACUGGGGGAUAACAGAAACAACAGCUUUGAUUCACAUAACUGGGGUCCACUUCCAGUUAAGAACAUCCUCGGGAGAUCUGUGCUCCGAUACUGGCCACCAUCUAGGAUAACAGAUACAAUAUAUCAGCAUGACAUGGUGCAGCACACAGCUGUUGCAUCCUGAUAAUACAUUGUGGCAAUACCACGUGGUGCACGCCAAUUUCUCCUUUCCCUGCAUAGCUUUAUUGACAAUUGAUAUGCUUAGCCGUGGGGUUCUUUAUUUAUUUGUUGUAGCCUUGCCUCAAAUGUCGAUUGGGCAGCUUGGCUGACAGAUUAGUUUUUUUUUCCCUCCCUACGGGCAGAUGCUUGUUUAAAGACAGCAAUUCUUGUACUCCGUAGCUAAGAAUGAAUGCCAUAUAAAUGUUGCAGUAGAUAAGCAUCAAGGAGUGUAGGAUGAGGAUGGCAGUUCUUUUGUUUUAUGAGAUGAGAUGGUGCUCUAAACUUACGUAAAGGAAAUACGAAGCAUAGAAGAGUGCCCAAGUUGUGUUAUGUAUUUUUUUCAUUCCUUGAUCUUGGAUCAAAGAUUCAAGGCAAAGUCAGCCUGGUGCAAAGGUUUUGGUUGAAUCCUUGUAUCCUGCCAGAUAAGGUUUUUUGAUGGUGCAAUUUUGGAUUAGCAUUUGCCCUAGUAUUUAGUGUUUUUUAGUUCUGUAUUCAUUUAUGAUGUAAUACAACUUUGUGAGCAUAGUUCUGUUUGGCCUGCUUUGUUCAAUCGCAGUGCGGGUUCAAUACUACGUUGCCUGAUGUUAUUGUC
Zea mays is the source of this 2590-nucleotide RNA transcript. RefSeq lists it as uncharacterized. NCBI's taxonomy places the organism in Eukaryota, Viridiplantae, Streptophyta, Magnoliopsida, Poales, Poaceae. The transcript has 6 exons. The record is from RefSeq and is marked validated.